This 276-nucleotide unclassified non-coding RNA is filed under the name Glomus sp. Its description in RNAcentral is "partial contains 5.8S ribosomal RNA and internal transcribed spacer 2". The stretch from base 1 to 65 matches the Rfam family "5.8S ribosomal RNA", at positions 84 to 154 of the family's 154-position model. The record is from RNAcentral. Lineage: Eukaryota; Fungi; Glomeromycota; Glomeromycetes; Glomerales; Glomeraceae.
GUGAAUCAUCGAAUCUUUGAACGCAAAUUGCACUCUCCUCGGAGAGUAUGCCUGUUUUAGGGGCAGCCUAAAAAAAAUCGACAUAGUCGCUGUUUCGCGGUGACAUUCGUCGGAAAUUGGACCAUCUUAAACCUUUGGGUUUUAAGCGGCUUAAAAUUUUCUUUACGAUUCUACGAACGUUUCUAAUAUUUACUUACACGUUUAAGGUAUCGAUUUUUAUUAGCCUUGGCCGUUCCAUCGGGUAACGUCCAUAAAUAUUUCGAUAACUGACCUCUU